GCCGGGGUGGCGGAACAGGCAGACGCAAGGGACUUAAAAUCCCUCGGGUGGUAACACCCGUACCGGUUCGAUUCCGGUUCCCGGCACCA
RNAcentral lists this transfer RNA (89 nucleotides) under Allolucifera butyrica. Its description in RNAcentral is "Lucifera butyrica tRNA". It matches the Rfam family "tRNA". Rfam says of the family: Transfer RNA (tRNA) molecules are approximately 80 nucleotides in length. Their secondary structure includes four short double-helical elements and three loops (D, anti-codon, and T loops). Lineage: Bacteria; Bacillati; Bacillota; Negativicutes; Veillonellales; Veillonellaceae. The record is from RNAcentral.